Nerophis ophidion (straightnose pipefish) is the source of this 3655-nucleotide long non-coding RNA. RefSeq lists it as uncharacterized. The transcript has 4 exons. The record is from RefSeq and is a predicted model, not a curated record. Lineage: Eukaryota; Metazoa; Chordata; Actinopteri; Syngnathiformes; Syngnathidae.
UCAACCUACGUCCUGGAGCAAAUAUCUGCCUUGGGUGGAGUUUUCCUAUAACUCCUUGAAGAGCUCCGCUACCGGCAUGUCUCCAUUUGAGUGCUCGUUGGGUUAUCAACCCCCCUUGUUUCCCCAACAGGAACUGGAAAUCGCUGUGCCCUCGACUAGGGCUCACAUUAGGCGGUGUCAGAGGGUGUGGAGAGCCGCUCGUGCGGCCUUAAAGAGGGCCUCUGAGAAGAUGUGCCGCAACGCCAACCGUCAUCGCAUUCCAGCACCGUCCUAUCAGCCAGGACAACAAGUUAUGCUACUCACGAAGGACCUCAGCCUCCAGGUCAAUCCGUGACGUCAUUUCCCCUUUAAACCACGUCUUUGUCAGAACAUCCGGUUUCAAUCAAUGGUGGCAGUCUGUCUUGUGUGCGUUGACGACGAAAAGAUAUCAGCUGAGCUUGUGCCGCCCAUACAGCUGCCGUCGACUUCCCUGAGACACUGGCGUCAACAGCCGGCCGUGGACGUACACUUCCGACUAUCAGGCCCAGGCCGCCCAGGACCAAACACACCCCCUCACCACUUAGGUGAGAGGCGGUGAGGGGGAAGGCAGGCGCUGAAGGUCCCAGAGGUGACGGGGAUUAUCCGGGGUCUCUCUGGAGGGGUCAUUAGAGGCAGCUCUGAUUAGCUCUGAAGCUGAAACACACACACAAACACACAAACAUUCCUCAUUCUUUCCUGGCUGGUUGCCUUACUUUUGCUUGAGCAAGAUGGACAACGUGACACCUCAUCGUGUGUUUCAGAUCACAUAUUUAGAGCUGUACCUGACAAUGAAUAGUUAUUAGCCAUCAAAUGGAGAGAGCAUUUAAAUCCUCUCCAUUCUUAUUGUGUUACUUUGCCCACUAGAGGGCAGUGUCAACGACUAAAAUAUCAACUAAAACACCAAUUCCUUCAAUUAGAUCAGUGGUUCUCAACCUUUUUUCAGUGAUGUACACCCUGUGAACAUUUUUUUAGUUCAAGUACCCCUAAUCAGAGCAAAGCAUUUUUGGUUGAAAAAAGAGACUAUGUCAUCAAUUUCGGAUUUAUUAAAUUGAAUAACAGUGCAAAAUAUUGCUCAUUUGUAGUGGUUUUUCUUGAACUAUUUGGAAAAAAAGGAUAUAAAAAUAACUAAAAACAUGUUGAAAAAUAAACAAGUGAUUCAAUUAUAAAUAAAGAUUUCUACACACAGAAGUAAUCAUCAACUUAAAGUGCCCUCUUUUGGGAUUGUAAUAGAGAUCCAUCAGGAUUCAUGAACUUAAUUCUAAAUAUUUCUUCACAAGAAAAAGAAAUCUUUAACAUCAAUAUUUAUGGAACAUGUCCACAAAAAUGUUUGCUGUCAACGCUGAAUAUUGCGUUGUUGCAUUUCUUUUCACAGUUUAUGAACUUACAUUCAUAUUUUGUUGAAGUAUUAUUCAAUAAACAUAUUAUAAAGGUUUUUUAAAUUUUUGCUAUUUUUAGAAUAUUUUUGAAAAAUCUUACGUUACCCUGGGCAUACCUUCAAGUACCCCAGGGGUACGCCUACCCCCAUUUGAGAACCACUGAAUUAGAUCAUCCAUCCAUCCGGGCAGCACAGUGGAACAGGGGUUAGUGCAUGUGCCUCGUGCAUGUGCCUCACAAUACGGUCCUGAGUAGUCCUGGGUUCAAUCCCGGUAUCUUUCUGUGUGGAGUUUGCAUGUACUCCCCGUGACUGCGUGGGGUCCCUCUGGGUACUCCGGCUUCCUCCAAAGACAUGCACCUGGGGAUAGGUUGAUUGGCAACACUAAACUGGCCCUAGUGUGUGAAUGUGAGUGUGAAUGUUGUCUGUCUAUCUGUGUUGGCCCUGCGAUGGGGUGAUGACUUGUCCAGGGUGUACCCCGCUUUCCGCCCGAAUGCAGUUGAGAUAGGCUCCAGCACCCGCCCCCCGCUACCCCGAAAGGGACAAGCGGUAAAAACAUGGAUGGAUGGAUAGAUAAUCCAUCCAUCGAUUUUCUACCCAUUGUCCUUUAUGGGGUCGCAGUGAUUCUCAAACUUUUUAACGUCAUGUACCACCUCAGAAAAUGCGUGGCUCUCCAAGUACCACCAUAAUGACCAACAUUUAAAUACAGUAGCCUAGUGGGCUUAAGUAUUCAUUAAAUCAAGGCAGAGGUUUUAGUUAAGAAGUAUAUUUAACAUGUUUGGCCAAUCUAACAUUGCACACUGUGACGGGUGUCCCGUCUUUCUGGCUUCGGGACUGGCUGUCCUCUGCUUCUCCCGUGCCUUGUCCGCUGCUGGGAACAUCUGUAUUUGACCUGCGCUUGCCUCUGAGGGUCCUGUCGGUUUGACUGCGUGGAGCGGGUAAUUCCUUGUUCCUUGGGCACCGCAUCUGCUGUUUUGGGUUUGGACUCUGUGUCGCUGGGGCUGUACUUUGGCUCCCGCAAACAAUAGCAGACAAAUAUAUUGUACUUACCAAACGUACAUUCAUUGAUACGUACGCUCACACAUUGGUACUGAGCCACAUACAGUACAGGCCAAAAGUCUGGACACGCCUUCUCAUUUCAAUGUGGUUUCUUUAUUUUCACGACUAUUUACAUUGUAGAUUGUCAGUGAAAGCAUCAAAACUAUGACACCUGUGAAGUGAAAACACUUUUACGUGACUAACUCUUGAAGUUUCUCGAGAGAAUGCCAAGAGUGUGCAAAACAGUAAUCAGAGCAAAGAGUGACUAUUUUAAAAAAACUAGAAUAUAAAACAUGUUUUCAGUUAUAAAUCAACAUGUGUUCAUUCAUAAUUGUGAUGCCUUCAGUGACAAUCUACAAUGUAAAUAGUCAUGAAAAUAAAGAAAACAAAUUGAAUGAGGUGUUUUCAAACUUUUGACCUGUACUGUACUUAGGUACAUAGCCUCCCACAUACAUACACAAAUACAAUACAAACACACACACACGGUACAUUCAUCCACACGCACAUUCACUGUACAAACAUACAUAUACACAUACUCUACAUAUACAAGUACAUAUAAAUACAUACAUACACUUGUGCAUAUAAUCACACGUCAUCAAAAAUAUAUUAACGUUGUUCCCCUUGGAUAAACUGGGUAAAACACGACACUGACAAAGCUAAACCUAUUGAUACUAUAACAAUCUACAAGGUUAUUACAAUUUGCUUCUCUUUCUUCCCCUCCAUUUAUCUGCUUUCUUUUGAAAUUCAAGUUAUUACAUAUAUGUAUUGUUGCAUUUGAAACAAUUGUAGUGUUGAUAAUAAAGGUAAUUAUUGUUAUUCAUUAUCAAUAGUUCUAUUUAUAUUGGUAUUUUUAUUGCUCCAUUUGUAGUGCAAUAAUGUUGAUUGUCAUUUCUGUGUUAGUAAUAAUUACUUCACUAACUGCUUCUUUGCUAUCAAUUUUUCGUAUCAUAUUCGUACAUAUUUUAUUUGCUGAUGCUGUUCUGUUGUUGUUGUCUCACUGUCUUAUCCCCCUCUGGUCCCCGCAAUUUCCCACUGUCUUCCUUUUUUCCUGUAUCUAUCCCCUCCUGCUCCAAAUAAUGUUAUAGAUCCAUUCAAUAAAGUCAAAUACAAAUAAGACAACAAGAGAAGUAUCCCACUCUUCUCUUUUGUAAAGUAAAUAUGGGCAGCUACAUCAACAACAUGACUUGCCAGAACAAAAAAAUAAAUUAAUAAAACACUGUACUUUAA